RNAcentral lists this ribosomal RNA (727 nucleotides) under Lactobacillus delbrueckii subsp. bulgaricus. RNAcentral describes it as "bacterial SSU rRNA". It matches the Rfam family "Bacterial small subunit ribosomal RNA", at positions 36 to 732 of the family's 1533-position model. Lineage: Bacteria; Bacillati; Bacillota; Bacilli; Lactobacillales; Lactobacillaceae. The record is from RNAcentral.
CUGGCGGCGUGCCUAAUACAUGCAAGUCGAGCGAGCUGAAUUCAAAGAUUCCUUCGGGAUGAUUUGUUGGACGCUAGCGGCGGAUGGGUGAGUAACACGUGGGCAAUCUGCCCUAAAGACUGGGAUACCACUUGGAAACAGGUGCUAAUACCGGAUAACAACAUGAAUCGCAUGAUUCAAGUUUGAAAGGCGGCGUAAGCUGUCACUUUAGGAUGAGCCCGCGGCGCAUUAGCUAGUUGGUGGGGUAAAGGCCUACCAAGGCAAUGAUGCGUAGCCGAGUUGAGAGACUGAUCGGCCACAUUGGGACUGAGACACGGCCCAAACUCCUACGGGAGGCAGCAGUAGGGAAUCUUCCACAAUGGACGCAAGUCUGAUGGAGCAACGCCGCGUGAGUGAAGAAGGUUUUCGGAUCGUAAAGCUCUGUUGUUGGUGAAGAAGGAUAGAGGCAGUAACUGGUCUUUAUUUGACGGUAAUCAACCAGAAAGUCACGGCUAACUACGUGCCAGCAGCCGCGGUAAUACGUAGGUGGCAAGCGUUGUCCGGAUUUAUUGGGCGUAAAGCGAGCGCAGGCGGAAUGAUAAGUCUGAUGUGAAAGCCCACGGCUCAACCGUGGAACUGCAUCGGAAACUGUCAUUCUUGAGUGCAGAAGAGGAGAGUGGAAUUCCAUGUGUAGCGGUGGAAUGCGUAGAUAUAUGGAAGAACACCAGUGGCGAAGGCGGCUCUCUGG